GAGUUUGAUCAUGGCUCAAAACGUACGCUGGCGGCACGCCUAACACAUGCAAGUCGAACGAAGUAGCAAUACUUAGUGGCAGACGGGUGAGUAACAUGUAGGUAUCUGCCCUUUGGCCUGGAAUAACACGAGGAAACUUGUGCUAAUACCGGAUAAGUCUUUACGGAGAAAGCUUCAUGCACCAUUGGAUGAGCCUGCACUUGAUUAGUUUGUUGGUGGGGUAAUGGCCUACCAAGACUGUGAUCAAUAGCUGAUUUGAGAGGAUGAUCAGCCACAUUGGGACUGAGACACGGCCCAAACUCCUACGGGAGGCAGCAGUGGGGAAUCUUGCACAAUGGAGGAAACUCUGAUGCAGCGAUGCCGCGUGAGUGAAGAAGGCCCUUGGGUUGUAAAGCUCUUUCGUCGGGGAAGAAAAUGACUGUACCCGAAUAAGAAGGUCCGGCUAACUUCGUGCCAGCAGCCGCGGUAAUACGAAGGGACCUAGCGUAGUUCGGAAUUACUAGGCUUAAAGAGUUCGUAGGUGGUUGAAAAAGUUAGUGGUGAAAUCCCAGAGCUUAACUCUGGAGCUGCCAUUAAAACUUUUCAGCUAGAGUAUGAUAGAGGAAAGCAGAAUUUCUAGUGUAGAGGUGAAAUUCGUAGAUAUUAGAAAGAAUACCAAUUGCGAAGGCAGCUUUCUGGAUCAUUACUGACACUGAGGAACGAAAGCAUGGGUAGCGAAGAGGAUUAGAUACCCUCGUAGUCCAUGCCGUAAACGAUGUGUGUUAGACGUUGGAAAUUUAUUUUCAGUGUCGCAGGGAAACCGAUAAACACACCGCCUGGGGAGUACGACCGCAAGGUCAAAACUCAAAUGAAUUGACGGGGACCCGCACAAGUAGUGGAGCAUGUGGUUUAAUUCGAAGAUACGCGCAGAACCUUACCAACACUUGACAUGUUCGUCGCAACUCUAAGAGAUUAGAGUUUUCGGUUCGGCCGGACGAAACACAGGUGCUGCAUGGCUGUCGUCAGCUCGUGUCGUGAGAUGUUGGGUUAAGUCCCGCAACGAGCGCAACCCUCACUUUUAGUUGCCAUCAUUAAGUUGGGCACUCUGAAAGAACUGCCAGUGAUAAGCUGGAGGAAGGUGGGGAUGACGUCAAGUCCUCAUGGCCCUUACGUGUUGGGCUACACACGUGCUACAAUGGUAUCUACAACAGGAAGCAAGACUGCGAAGUUAAGCAAAUCCCUAAAAGAUACCUCAGUUCGGAUUGCACUCUGCAACUCGAGUGCAUGAAGCUGGAAUUACUAGUAAUCGUGGAUCAGCGUGCCACGGUGAAUGCGUUCCCGGGUCUUGUACACACCGCCCGUCACACCAUGGGAGUUGGUUCUACCUUAAGGCGAGGUUUAAAACCCUUGACCACGGUAUAGUCAGCGACUGGGGUGAAGUCGUAACAAGGUAACC
Molecule: ribosomal RNA, 1435 nt
Filed under: uncultured marine bacterium
Lineage: Bacteria
Description: bacterial SSU rRNA
Rfam family: Bacterial small subunit ribosomal RNA
Source: RNAcentral